GUGUUAAUAAAAAAAAAUUGAUAGAUGGUCUAAGCAGAUGCUGAUUGACGCCACACGGUCGUCCGUCGUCAUUCCGGCGGAGGGUUACCUCUCUUUGGAUGCGCCAAGCAUUUCUCUUAAAUCAAAACGGAAACACUGCAAGAAAGAUUUUCUCUUGGCUACAUUAUAGGUCUCUCUCUCUCUCUCUCUCUGUGGCAGAGAUGACCAGAACGAAGCUCUCUUCUUGCUGCAUAUCUCACGAAUUCUUGAAAGCUGCAACCAGAAACCCCAACAAAGUCGCCGUCAUACAUGGCUGCGGUGGCGCCAACAUCGCCAGAGAGUUUCGCAGCAACAACAACGCCACCAGUGUGUCCGAUAUCAACUACGACAACUUCUUCGGCGACCUUUUCGCAGCAGCGGCACCGUCGUCUAAUCCUCCGGUGUGCAGUGGCGAUCGGUGUUUCACUUUCUCUGAAAUUCUCUCCGCCGUCGACUCCCUCAGUUCGCGCCUCCGCCGCAUCCUCGACGGUGGGGAUGAUCCCUAUCUUGUGAGGCCCACCUCUGGUAAUUUUCUGAGUGAGCAGCCAGUACAAUCUGAAUGUUCGAAUUCUUGUAGUCUAGGUGUAAAGCAGUCUACUGAGGAUCAGUAUAUGUAUACUCCAAAAAUAUUGGGAAUAUAUAUGGUACCUUCUGUGGAAUACAUUAUUGCUGUUCUUUCUGUACUGAGGUGUGGGGAGGCUUUUAUGCCUUUAGAUCCUUUGUGGCCGAAAGAAAGAAUAUCAACCAUUGUUGCUUUGUCAAAUGUGGAUCUUAUUAUUAGAUGUCAAUCUUCAUUUGAUGGAAGUGGCUGUCAUGAGCCUGAUAAAUCAGAGGGGCUUGUUGAUUGUAGCACUUGUCCUGAGUUAUUUAUAUCCAUGAAAGAAAACCUUCAGCAGCAAUUUGGUUCAUCAAAUUUAGCAUGGCAUUGUGAAAAUGAAAAAACAAGGUCGUUUUGUUACUUAAUGUUCACAUCGGGAUCAACUGGAAAACCUAAAGGUGUAUGUGGCACUGAAACAGGUCUUGUGAAUCGUGUUUUGUGGAUGCAAGAAUUGUAUCCCUCAGUUGGGGAAGAAUUGUUACUGUUCAAAACAUCAAUAAGCUUUAUUGAUCAUUUACAAGAAUGCUUGGGAGCUCUUCUUGCUACUUGUACAUUGGUCAUACCUCCUUUCAAUGAGUUCAAAGAAAAUCCUUUUUAUGUAUACGAUUUUUUACAGUUCUGCAGGAGCACUGAAAAUUUUGGAUGUUUUGGAAAUAUAGUUGAGCAGGCUUACUCUAUCAAUAGACUUAUUGCUGUCCCAUCACUGAUGAGAGUGAUUCUUCCUGCCUUGCAAAGUCCGUAUAAUAUGAGAGUUCAGAGUUCCUUAAAAAUGUUAGUGCUGAGUGGCGAAGUUUUUCCUAUGUCCUUAUGGGAAAUGCUUUACAAGUUAUUACCGAAGACUACUAUCUUGAACUUAUAUGGGUCUACGGAGGUGUCUGGUGAUUGUUCAUAUUUCGAUUGCAAGAAGUUGCUAUCGAUUUUGGAUAGUGAAGCACUGAGCAGUGUUCCCAUUGGCAUGCCUAUUUCAAACUGUGAUUUAGUUCUUGUAGAUGAAGAUUCAUCUAUUCAAGGAGAAAUUCAAGGAGAAAUAUAUGUUGGCGGACUCUGCAUGGCUGCUGGAUACUAUUGUGAUUUUUCUGUAAUACGGCAUGACUUUGUUAAGUGUCCUCAACACUCUUCUUCUGUCUGUUUAGUCAGUGAGAGUGAAUGUCAAUACUAUUUUAAAACUGGUGAUUUUGCUAGACGACUUCAAAGUGGUGACCUAAUUUUUCUCGGCAGAAAAGAUCGCACAGUGAAGGUUAAUGGGCAACGCAUUGCAUUAGAGGAAAUUGAAAGUACAUUAAGGGGAUAUCCAGGAGUAGUUGAUGUUGCUGUGAUUUAUUGUAGAGGUCAAGGAGAAGUAGCAUUUCUUGAUGCAUAUUUAUUAAUGAGACCAGCGGAUGUAUGUGGUGAAAUUUUGAGAUCUUCUAUUAGGAGUUGGAUGCUUGAAAAACUUCCAUUAGCAAUGAUCCCUAACCGUUUCUUCUUUACCGAAUCAUUUCCCAAGUCUUCAACUGGAAAAGUGGAUUAUGUGCUGUUGGCCAGUUUGACGUUUUCCAUGAAACGUGACCAAAAUGAGAUUGGUAAAAUUCAGAGUACUGGACUGUUGGAAGUUGUCAAGAAGGCCUUUUGUGAUGCUUUGAUGGUUGAAAUGGUGUCUGAUGAUGAUGAUUUCUUUAUAAUGGGUGGUAAUUCUAUCUCAGUGGCGCACGUCUCUUAUAAUUUAGGAAUUGAUAUGGGGUUGCUUUAUGUCUUUCCAAGUCCAUUGAAGCUUCAAAUGGCACUUCUAGAAAAAGAAAGUUUGUGCAAUACUAAUGAAAGAACAGCUGUUAAUGAAGCGCAAGAGGAGAGGAUGCUUAUUUCCCUUGAUUCUAAGAUGCCUAAUCUUCAAUCCUCUAAGCCAUGUGGAAGGUUUUCGAGGACCCUCAGCAACAAGAGUGAUGAUUAUCCUUCUAAAUUCCAGAAGGUGCAUUUAAAUUUCUGUGGAAAUUCAAAGGGAAAUAGUUUUGUAGAUGGCUAUCCAUGGAAUUCAAAUUCAAUACGUGUGCCAUGUUCAUGUAGCCGUUGCAAUAGAGUAAUUUAUGAUGGUGCAUACGAGGGGAAUAAUUUAUGGCAAGCAACCUUGUCAGUGGAAAUUCCGAGAAAUAAAAGAGGUGCUAUGCAAGAAUUAUGGAAAGUCCACAUGGAAUCUUGUGUUGAUGCAUCACCACUUCUUGUAUUUAAAGAACAAGAUUUUUUUCUUUUUAUUGGAUCUCACUCAUACAAAUUUCUUUGUAUCAAUGCCAAAAGUGGUUUUGUCCAAUGGGAGAUCAAAUUAGGAGGACGGAUAGAAUGUUCGGCUGCAAUCCUUGGUAAUUUUUCUCAGGUUGUCGUUGGAUGUUACCAAGGGAAGAUUUACUUUCUUGAUUUUUCUAAUGGCAACAUCUGUUGGAGUUUCCAAACGUGUGGUGAGGUUAACUUGUUUUGCAGUUUCCUAGAUGCUAAUCAAAUUUUGACUUUCGAAGGUAAAGUCACAGCCCGUGGUGGACAAAUGCAGGCACUUGGUCUGGUGUGGGUCGCAUGACCAUAAUCUUUAUGCUCUUGAUUAUAAAAAUUACUGCUGCGUUUAUAAGAUUCCAUGUGGUGGCAGUAUCUAUGGGUCACCUGUAAUUGACGAGGAGAUGAAGUUGCAGUGAUAGAGACAUGGUGCUCCAUAAAUUGGCAUCAGCUUUGCAACUUCUGCAUUUGUCUGUCCACGUCAAGUUGGCUUCAAGUGUCAGUUCCUGGAUAAUGCCCCACCUUAAAAACUUGGAUACAUUAUUUGUUGUAAAACAUGCCACUCUAUUGCCAACAUAAAGCUAACAAGUUUUGGAAGACGAUGGGUAAUGUGGAAUUUUCCAAGUUGGAUGUAGCAAAUAUAGAUUGUUCUAGAAAUUAAUUGAAAUAGGAACUUAAACAGUACAAACAAAUUACUAUCAAAUUUCAAAUUGGGCAACAAAGCCAUGUAUAUUUGGAAAUUUUGAGGAGCCACAAAACUAAUCGUUAGAUUAGCUACUUAAAUUUUCAUUAUUUCUACGACUUUCAGAAUGAUAAUCUGGUAUGCUGUUCAGUGGAAAAGUCAUGGAUGCAACUUUUAGAAAUACUUGUUUACUAAAUUACUACAAAUUGUUACUUUAGAUCCAAUACAUUAAGUAUUCAAAAAAGAAAAAAGGAGAUACUGAAAUUUGUUCUCUAUGUACUAUUGACAACAAUGAUGAAGAUUGUUGGCCAAGCGUAGAUGGGGAAAAUGACAUGAAGGAGACACUUGAAUAAUAACUGUAUAAUAAAGGAAACAUAGCUGUUUGCUUUUUGAGUUUGUCUUAAAUCUUAAUCAAAGGAGCAUCAAUGUAUUAAUAAAGGAAAUGAUGUGCCAGUCAUUUAGCCAAAUCCACCCUAGUUAGAUUGGAUGGUAGUGAGCAAAAACACAAGUUACUGUGUGAGCAACGUGGGAAUAUAUGAACUUUAUCGGAUCUGUUUCGGCACAAAUGUUUACAUUGUCCUUUUUAGCAACUGUGAUCAUAAACAUAAGUAGCUGUUUGUCUAUUUUCUUGAAGAAAUGAUGAUAAAAUUUACCAAUUUACCACCACGAGGAAUGCCAAAUACCACAAUAACAGUGAUAGUCAAAAGCUUGUAUGGCAAUGGGGCUUUAAGGGCUCAACUUCUGCCUAUAAUUAGCUUACUGCUCCAAGAAUUGCCUACAAAUUAUUGAAUGCUACUAGGGUUGUAGUACUUGCAGACUUUCAUCAAAUGUCACAAAGGAAUGAUCCACUCAAGAAGUACGUAUGCCAACUAGCUUUACAUGCACCAAAAAGUUCGCUCCAGAAAUUUCGGCAGACAAGUUUCAUUGACCUCAUCAAAUACCUGUAAUUGUGCUACUCCAAGGAACACAUGACACUAAUAGAACACUACUUGAAAUCACCAAGCAACUAAGAAAGUCAUAUGAAAAGAGAAGUUAAGGUAGAAUUUUAUAUACGCAUUACCUUUAAUCCGAGCAGCAGCAAAUGGAAAGUAGUACUCAAAUUGUGUUUCAAACAAGAAAACAGCUACCAUUUCAGUUAAGUGCCAAGUAAAUAAUAGAAUAUACACAGAGGGUGCAGAAACUGUCCACUGGUUAAUUUACAUGUAGUAGAAAACCUUAUUGGCCUCCUGAAAGAUUUGCAGUGCUGCAAAAUGCAUU
Molecule: RNA transcript, 4790 nt
Organism: Camellia sinensis
Lineage: Eukaryota; Viridiplantae; Streptophyta; Magnoliopsida; Ericales; Theaceae
Gene name: AMP-dependent synthetase and ligase family protein
Source: RefSeq, a predicted model, not a curated record